UACGUAGGGUCCGAGCGUUGUCCGGAAUUACUGGGCGUAAAGAGCUCGUAGGUGGUUUGUCGCGUUGUUCGUGAAAACUCACAGCUUAACUGUGGGCGUGCGGGCGAUACGGGCAGACUGGAGUACUGCAGGGGAGACUGGAAUUCCUGGUGUAGCGGUGGAAUGCGCAGAUAUCAGGAGGAACACCGGUGGCGAAGGCGGAUCUCUGGGCCAUUACUGACGCUGAGGAGCGAAAGCGUGGGGAGCGAACAGG
Molecule: ribosomal RNA, 253 nt
Filed under: uncultured bacterium
Lineage: Bacteria
Description: partial 16S ribosomal RNA
Rfam family: Bacterial small subunit ribosomal RNA
Source: RNAcentral